RNAcentral lists this ribosomal RNA (253 nucleotides) under uncultured bacterium. Its description in RNAcentral is "partial 16S ribosomal RNA". It matches the Rfam family "Bacterial small subunit ribosomal RNA", at positions 524 to 776 of the family's 1533-position model. The record is from RNAcentral.
UACGUAGGGUGCGAGCGUUGUCCGGAAUUAUUGGGCGUAAAGAGCUUGUAGGUGGUUUGUCGCGUCUGCUGUGAAAAUCCGAGGCUCAACCUCGGACUUGCAGUGGGUACGGGCAGACUAGAGUGUGGUAGGGGAGACUGGAAUUCCUGGUGUAGCGGUGGAAUGCGCAGAUAUCAGGGGGAACACCGAUGGCGAAGGCAGGUCUCUGGGCCACUACUGACGCUGAGAAGCGAAAGCAUGGGGAGCGAACAGG